AUUGAACUCUGGCGGAAUGCUUUACACAUGCAAGUCGAACGGCAGCACGGGGGCAGCCCUGGUGGCGAGUGGCGAACGGGUGAGUAAUACAUCGGAACGUGCCCGGUCGUGGGGGAUAACGUAGCGAAAGUUACGCUAAUACCGCAUACGAUCUGAGGAUGAAAGCGGGGGACCUUCGGGCCUCGCGCGAUCGGAGCGGCCGAUGUCAGAUUAGGUAGUUGGUGGGGUAAAGGCCUACCAAGCCGACGAUCUGUAGCUGGUCUGAGAGGACGACCAGCCACACUGGGACUGAGACACGGCCCAGACUCCUACGGGAGGCAGCAGUGGGGAAUUUUGGACAAUGGGCGCAAGCCUGAUCCAGCCAUUCCGCGUGCAGGACGAAGGCCUUCGGGUUGUAAACUGCUUUUGUACGGAACGAAAAGGCUCUGGCUAAUACCUGGGGCUCAUGACGGUACCGUAAGAAUAAGCACCGGCUAACUACGUG
RNAcentral lists this ribosomal RNA (484 nucleotides) under uncultured bacterium. RNAcentral describes it as "partial 16S ribosomal RNA". It matches the Rfam family "Bacterial small subunit ribosomal RNA", at positions 30 to 507 of the family's 1533-position model. The record is from RNAcentral.